Molecule: ribosomal RNA, 950 nt
Filed under: uncultured archaeon
Lineage: Archaea
Description: bacterial SSU rRNA
Rfam family: Archaeal small subunit ribosomal RNA
Source: RNAcentral
UUCCGGUUGAUCCUGCCGGACCCGACUGCUAUUUGGGUGAGAAUAAGCCAUGCGAGUUGAAUGGGAUACCUAAAGUUCCCAUAGCAAACUGCUCAGUAACACAUGAUCAACUUACCCUAUAGAGAAAAAUAACCUCGGGAAACUGAGGAUAAUGUUUCAUAAUUGAAUUGGCUUGGAAAAGUUUUUCAAUGAAAAGGAUAAAAAAAAUGGUUUUUAUCUGCUAUAGGAUAGGAUCGUGUUCGAUUAUGGUUGUUGGUGAGAUAAUGGCUCACCAAGCCGAUAAUCGAUAGGGGCCGUGAGAGCGGGAGCCCCGAGAUGGGUACUGAGACAACGACCCAGGCCUUACGAGGCGCAGCAGGCGCGGAACCUCCGCAAUACACGAAAGUGUGACGGGGUUACCCAAAGUGUUCAAUAGAACUGUGGUAGGUGAGUAAUGUUCCCUACUAGAAAGGAGAGGGCAAGGCUGGUGCCAGCCGCCGCGGUAAAACCAGCUCUUCAAGUGGUCGGGAUAAUUAUUGGGCUUAAAGUGUCCGUAGCCGGUUUAGUAAGUUCCUGGUAAAAUCGGGUAGCUUAACUAUCUGCAUGCUAGGAAUACUGCUAUACUAGAGGGCGGGAGAGGUCUGAGGUACUACAGGGGUAGGGGUGAAAUCUUAUAAUCCUUGUAGGACCACCAGUGGCGAAGGCGUCAGACUGGAACGCGCCUGACGGUGAGGGACGAAAGCCAGGGGAGCGAACCGGAUUAGAUACCCGGGUAGUCCUGGCCGUAAACGAUGCAUACUAGGUGAUGGUACGGCCAUGAGCCGUAUCAGUGCCGUAGGGAAACCGUUAAGUGUGCCGCCUGGGAAGUACGGUCGCAAGGCUAAAACUUAAAGGAAUUGGCGGGGGAGCACCACAAGGGGUGAAGCCUGCGGUUCAAUUGGAUUCAACGCCGGGAAUCACUAGUGCGGCCG